RNAcentral lists this long non-coding RNA (277 nucleotides) under Solanum tuberosum (potato). Its description in RNAcentral is "long non-coding RNA (STUB_LNC011201)". The record is from RNAcentral. Lineage: Eukaryota; Viridiplantae; Streptophyta; Magnoliopsida; Solanales; Solanaceae.
ACAUUGGGCCCAAAGCUGUUGACUUUUUGGGCUUUGGCUCAAUUUUGAUUUUUAUAUACAAAUUGUGUAUUGUCCGUAGAUCAGUGUAUAUAACUCAAUUUUUAACUCCCGAGAGCUGUAAUUCUGCUCCAUUUUCGCUGUCAUCCUGCCUUUCAACCUGUAUCACGUACACCAAAUGUAUACGGGAUGUAUAUUGGCCUGUAUAUCAGUGCAUAUUUAGUGUAUACAAACUGCAUACAGUCCAUUUUCGGACUUUCAGGGGCCUGUUUCAGCUUCU